CCUACGGGUGGCAGCAGUAGGGAAUAUUGCUCAAUGGGGGAAACCCUGAAGCAGCAACGCCGCGUGGAGGAUGAAGGUUUUAGGAUUGUAAACUCCUUUUGUGAGAGAAGAUAAUGACGGUAUCUCACGAAUACUCACCGGCCAACUCCGUGCCAGCAGCCGCGGUAAUACGGAGGGUGCAAGCGUUACUCGGAAUCACUGGGCGUAAAGGGUGCGUAGGCGGGUUGGUAAGUCAGAUGUGAAAUCCUGUGGCUUAACUACAGAACUGCAUUUGAAACUGUGAGUCUAGAGUGUGGGAGAGGUAGGUGGAAUUCUUGGUGUAGGGGUGAAAUCCGUAGAUAUCAAGAGGAAUACUCAUUGCGAAGGCAGCCUACUGGAACAUGACUGACGCUCAUGCACGAAAGCGUGGGGAGCAAACAGGAUUAGAUACCCUUGUAGUC
Molecule: ribosomal RNA, 440 nt
Filed under: uncultured bacterium
Lineage: Bacteria
Description: partial 16S ribosomal RNA
Rfam family: Bacterial small subunit ribosomal RNA
Source: RNAcentral